This 497-nucleotide ribosomal RNA is filed under the name uncultured bacterium. RNAcentral describes it as "partial 16S ribosomal RNA". It matches the Rfam family "Bacterial small subunit ribosomal RNA", at positions 28 to 507 of the family's 1533-position model. The record is from RNAcentral.
GAUGAACGCUGGCGGCGUGCCUAAUACAUGCAAGUCGAGCGAACAGACGAGGAGCUUGCUCCUCUGACGUUAGCGGCGGACGGGUGAGUAACACGUGGAUAACCUACCUAUAAGACUGGGAUAACUUCGAGAAACCGGAGCUAAUACCGGAUAAUAUAUUGAACCGCAUGGUUCUAUAGUGAAAGACGGUUUUGCUGUCACUUAUAGCUGGAUCCGCGCCGCAUUAGCUAGUUGGUAAGGUAACGGCUUACCAAGGCAACGAUGCGUAGCCGACCUGAGAGGGUGAUCGGCCACACUGGAACUGAGACACGGUCCAGACUCCUACGGGAGGCAGCAGUAGGGAAUCUUCCGCAAUGGGCGAAAGCCUGACGGAGCAACGCCGCGUGAGUGAUGAAGGUCUUCGGAUCGUAAAACUCUGUUAUUAGGGAAGAACAAAUGUGUAAGUAACUAUGCACGUCUUGACGGUACCUAAUCAGAAAGCCACGGCUAACUACGUG